GUAGUUAGCCGGGGCUUCCUCCUUGGCUACCGUCACUUUCUUCGUCCCCAAGGACAGAGGUUUACAACCCGAAAGCCUUCUUCCCUCACGCGGCGUUGCUGGGUCAGGGUUUCCCCCAUUGCCCAAUAUUCCCCACUGCUGCCUCCCGUAGGAGUCUGGACCGUGUCUCAGUUCCAGUGUGGCCGAUCACCCUCUCAGGUCGGCUACCCAUCGUCGGCUUGGUGGGCUGUUAUCUCACCAACUACCUAAUGGGACGCGAGCCCAUCUACGAGCAAUAAAUCUUUGACCCCUUUAUCAUGUGAUAAUGUGGUCUUAUGCGGUAUUAGCAGUCGUUUCCAACUGUUGUCCCCCACUCGUAGGCAGGUUGCUCACGCGUUACUCACCCGUCCGCCACUAAGUCUACCAACAAUCCAUCCGAAACUUCAUCUCGAUAGCUUCGUUCGACUUGCAUGUGUUAAGCACGCCGCCAGCGUUCGUCCUGAGCCAUGAUCAAACUCUGA
RNAcentral lists this ribosomal RNA (500 nucleotides) under uncultured bacterium. RNAcentral describes it as "partial 16S ribosomal RNA". The record is from RNAcentral.